Molecule: ribosomal RNA, 301 nt
Filed under: uncultured bacterium
Lineage: Bacteria
Description: partial 16S ribosomal RNA
Rfam family: Bacterial small subunit ribosomal RNA
Source: RNAcentral
CAGUCGCCACGGUAAUACGAAGGGUGCAAGCGUUACUCGGAAUUACUGGUCGUAAAGCGUGCGUAGGUGGUGGUUUAAGUCCGUUGUGAAAGCCCUGGGCUCAACCUGGGAAUUGCAGUGGAUACUGGGUCACUAGAGUGUGGUAGAGGAUAGUGGAAUUUCCGGUGUAGCAGUGAAAUGCGUAGAGAUCGGAAGGAACAUCUGUGGCGAAGGCGACUAUCUGGGCCAACACUGACACUGAGGCACGAAAGCGUGGGGAGCAAACAGGAUUAGAUACCCCCGUAGUCCCUGUCUCUUAUAC